ACUCCUACGGGAGGCAGCAGUGGGGAAUUUUGGACAAUGGGCGAAAGCCUGAUCCAGCAAUGCCGCGUGAGUGAAGAAGGCCUUCGGGUUGUAAAGCUCUUUUGUCAGGGAAGAAACGGUGAGAGCUAAUAUCUCUUGCUAAUGACGGUACCUGAAGAAUAAGCACCGGCUAACUACGUGCCAGCAGCCGCGGUAAUACGUAGGGUGCAAGCGUUAAUCGGAAUUACUGGGCGUAAAGCGUGCGCAGGCGGUUUUGUAAGUCUGAUGUGAAAUCCCCGGGCUCAACCUGGGAAUUGCAUUGGAGACUGCAAGGCUAGAAUCUGGCAGAGGGGGGUAGAAUUCCACGUGUAGCAGUGAAAUGCGUAGAUAUGUGGAGGAACACCGAUGGCGAAGGCAGCCCCCUGGGUCAAGAUUGACGCUCAUGCACGAAAGCGUGGGGAGCAAACAGGAUUAGAAACCCUGGUAGUCCCAU
This 472-nucleotide ribosomal RNA is filed under the name uncultured organism. RNAcentral describes it as "partial 16S ribosomal RNA". It matches the Rfam family "Bacterial small subunit ribosomal RNA", at positions 335 to 798 of the family's 1533-position model. The record is from RNAcentral.